AUACGGAGGAUCCGAGCGUUAUCCGGAUUUAUUGGGUUUAAAGGGUGCGCAGGCGGCCAUUUAAGUCAGCGGUUAAAUCGUGGGGCUCAACCCCAUUCUGCCGUUGAUACUGGGUGGCUUGAUUGCGGUCGAGGUUGGCGGAAUUCGUUGUGUAGCGGUGAAAUGCAUAGAUAUGACGAAGAACACCGAUUGCGUAGGCAGCUGACCAGAUCGCAAAUGACGCUCAUGCACGAAAGUGCGGGGAUCGAACAGGAUUAGAUACCCUGGUAGUCCGCACAGUAAACGAUGAAUACUUGUUUUCGGCGAUAUAAUGUCGGAGGUAAAGCGAAAGCGAUAAGUAUUCCACCUGGGGAGUACGCCGGCAACGGUGAAACUCAAAGGAAUUGACGGGG
This 392-nucleotide ribosomal RNA is filed under the name uncultured bacterium. Its description in RNAcentral is "partial 16S ribosomal RNA". It matches the Rfam family "Bacterial small subunit ribosomal RNA", at positions 523 to 918 of the family's 1533-position model. The record is from RNAcentral.